This 378-nucleotide unclassified non-coding RNA is filed under the name uncultured bacterium. RNAcentral's name for it is "contains 16S-23S intergenic spacer region". The record is from RNAcentral.
UCCGGUUUACCACCGGCAGUCUCGUUAGAGUCCCCGGCAUGACCCGCUGGUAACUAACGACAAGGGUUGCGCUCGUUGCGGGACUUAACCCAACAUCUCACGACACGAGCUGACGACAGCCAUGCACCACCUGUGCACUGGCCCCGAAGGGCUGCCGUAUUUCUACGACAUUCCAGUGCAUGUCAAGCCCUGGUAAGGUUCUUCGCGUCGCGUCGAAUUAAACCACAUGCUCCGCUGCUUGUGCGGGCCCCCGUCAAUUCCUUUGAGUUUCAGCCUUGCGGCCGUACUCCCCAGGCGGGACACUUACUGCGUUAGCGACGGCACCGAGGGGGUCGCUCCCCCCGACGCCUAGUGCCCAUCGUUUACGGCGUGGACUAC